This 775-nucleotide ribosomal RNA is filed under the name uncultured Neocallimastigales. Its description in RNAcentral is "partial large subunit ribosomal RNA". It matches the Rfam family "Eukaryotic large subunit ribosomal RNA", at positions 23 to 634 of the family's 3401-position model. The record is from RNAcentral. Lineage: Eukaryota; Fungi; Neocallimastigomycota; Neocallimastigomycetes; Neocallimastigales.
AGAGAGAGACAUGCGCGCAUAUCAAUAAGCGGAGGAAAAGAAACUAACUAGGAUUCCCUCAGUAACGGCGAGUGAAGCGGGAAGAGCUCAAAUUUGAAAUCUUCAAGGUUCUACCUUGACGAAUUGUAGUUUAAAGAAGUGUUUUCUGUUGGAAGUUUUGGUAAAAGUUCUUUGGAAUAGGACAUCAUAGAGGGUGAGAAUCCCGUAUUUGACCAUUAUUUUCAGCUUUGUGAUACACUUUCAAAGAGUCGGAUUGUUUGGGAAUGCAGUCCAAAAUGGGUGGUAAAUUUCAUCUAAAGCUAAAUAUUGGCGAGAGACCGAUAGCGAACAAGUACCGUGAGGGAAAGAUGAAAAGAACUUUGAAAAGAGAGUUAAACAGUACGUGAAAUUGUCAAAAGGGAAGCGUUUGACACCAGUGUUGUUUUCUCGAAAAUCAAUUAAAAAUGGCUCGAUUUUGUAUUGUUGAGACCUUAAAAGCUCACUGUACAUUUUUCGUGUCUUUUUUAAUGCACUUUUCGUUUAACAAGUCAACAUCAGUUUCUUUUGUUGUAAAAGGGUCAUUGGAAGGUGGCUUUCUUUUCGGAGAAAGUGUUUAUAGCCUUUGGCCUCUGCAAUCGGAGAGACUGAGGUCUGCAGCGUAGACUCUUCGGGGUUAGAUACAUUUGUGCUAAGUUAUAGCUUUUUAUAGACAACUUGUUGACUAUAAUUAGUCUUGUAGCUUACUCGCUUAUGCUAUUUUACCUACGCUUAGGAUGUUGAAGAUGUAGCACAUCAU